AGCCAUAGCCAUAUCACCCUGCAGCCCAAGACUGGUUACUCACUGAAGCUAAGCAGGGCUGAGCCUGGUCAGUACCUGGAUGGGAGACCACAUGGGAAAGCUACCUUGCUGUUGGAA
RNAcentral lists this ribosomal RNA (117 nucleotides) under Danio rerio (zebrafish). Lineage: Eukaryota; Metazoa; Chordata; Actinopteri; Cypriniformes; Danionidae. The record is from RNAcentral.